RNAcentral lists this non-coding RNA (55 nucleotides) under unclassified sequences. RNAcentral describes it as "chromate-resist RNA". It matches the Rfam family "chrB-b RNA". The record is from RNAcentral.
CCGGGUAUUACGCAGACACCCGGUAACACAAGGACGAAAUCGUCCCAAGUACUGC